GGAAGGCUUGGGGGUGGGUGGGGCGUGCAGAUGGCCUUCCCCCAGGCCUCUCUGGGCCCCCAGCCUCCUCCCGGAACCAGACCUGGGAGGGGCGUCUCUGGAAAGCCCUCUGAGGUCCCACCGGGCCGAGCGUCUGGGCCCGCGCCCUCGGCUCUUUCCACACCGUCGCUGCCGCUGCUGCAGCGAGGCACGGGGAGCCGAUGACUCACCCUGCCGGCUAAUUGCAGCGUUAAAUAACUUUGCGCUGGAUCCAGGGGAGGCAGGAGUGGCAGCAGCUAGAGAACGCGCUGGGGGAGGAGGGGACGGGGGAGGUGCAGGGGUGCUUUGAGAACACACCCGCGUUCCUGACGCCCGCUUGGCAAGUUCAGGCCUGGGAAGACGUCCCCCAGAACUCACAGCGUCAUGCCCCUUCCUUCACAGAGUGUCCAGGGUGCCCGGCGAGCAGGGGCACAAGCCCCCAGAGGCCGCUUGCGUCUGGAGAAAGCCUCACCCGCAUUCGCCAGGCAGCCCGCGCGCAGGGGUCCCUCGCCCACGUUUCACGGAAGCCAUCUGCCCAGUGAAUACAUGGAGACGAGGUUUGCAGCCACCUCCGUGAAGGAUGGAGCCGCUUCUCCAUUCCCAAUGCGGUGCCGCAGCAGCCCGAUUGAUCAGGCUUUGCGGGGAGAAGGGAGCUGACUCGCCUGGUCCUGCGCCCGGCCUCGAAAGAAGGCCUGAGUCGGCCUGGGCGGGCUGGGGGGCGGGGUCGUGCAGCAGCCUCUCAAAUCGAAAGACCUGAACUAGGCAGAAUCCUUUUCCCCAACCCCUGACGGUCUCACCUGUGAAGCUCCUCCCCUCCCAGCCACCCCGACAGCGGCCAGCGGGGACCCUGGCACAGCUGCGGUCCAGGAAGUGACUUGGGGGCCCCACAGUGAACUCUGAGGCAGGGAGCUCACUCCGGAAAGAAGCACCGCCCUCGUGAGAAAUGCCCCUCUAGGUGGUGAGGGGCAGGUGGGAAGGAGAACAAUCAAUAUUGAUCUUCACGUGUAGGUGCAGUGUGUGCGUCUCUGUGCCAACGCUGCACAAGUGAUGGUUCACGUAAAGCGCUCAGUCUCACAAAACCAGAGCCAGUGAAUUAUUGGCGAUACAGCAUGCACUUUACUAUUUUAUAAGCUUUCGUCUUGUACAAUAUAACAGAGCCACAGGAACAUCCAUAAAAUAUGCAUGGAACAGUUUAAUGACUUAUAUGAGCACCUGCGUCCUUGCCACCACAUCAGGAAACAGAACACUGAAGAUGCAAAGAUGCAGCUCGCCCUGCCCUCCCCCAAAGGUUCUGCUGACUUCACUGAAACCACUUCUUUGUGUUUAUUUGUACUUUGAUCACCUAAGCAUGCACCCCUAAACAUUUCAGUUUGGCUUUGCCUGUUUUUUGAACUUAAUACAAAUGGAAUCAUAGAGCAUGAUUGUUGCACAUCUGGUUUCUUUCGUCCAACUGAAUGCCUGUUGUUGUGUCUGUAGUUUAUCCCUUUUAAUGCUGGUACUAAGCCAUUGUGCGAAUGUGCCACAAUUUAUCCAUUUUACUGAUGAUGAGCAUUUGAUUGUUUCUAGUUUGGGGAUAUUAUGAAUAAAGCUGUUGUGAACUUUCUUA
Balaenoptera acutorostrata (minke whale) is the source of this 1624-nucleotide long non-coding RNA. RefSeq lists it as uncharacterized. The record is from RefSeq and is a predicted model, not a curated record. Lineage: Eukaryota; Metazoa; Chordata; Mammalia; Artiodactyla; Balaenopteridae. The transcript has 4 exons.